AGCGCGCCGACCGGCUGCGAGACCACGUGACCGGCGCGGGCGGCGGCUCGGGCGGCUCGGGGCGGCGGCUCGGGCGGACCGUGUGACGGCGGUGACGGUGCGGACCGUGCGACCGGUGACGGCAGCAGGAGACGGACGGCGCGGCGGAGCGACGCGACACCGCCGGACACAGCCAGCAGGCCGUGACACGACCCUGAGCCGGCGGCGGCUGCGGCGGCGCAGCCAUGGGCGCCAGCGGAGAGGACUUUGCGCCCAGCUUCACCCAGAAGCCGCAGCUGCGUCAGGAGGAUGACGGCAACCGGCUGCUGUUCGAGUGCAAACUGCGCUCCCGGCCUCAGCCGGAUAUUGAGUGGCAGCGCGGCGACGAGCGGCUCGCCGAGGACUCGCGCACAGUGUUCCGCAUGAAGGAGAUCGACCGCGACCUCUACUACGUGGUGCUGGAGAUUGACGAUGUGAUCGAGACCGACGGCGGCCUGUACAAGGUCAAGGCGCGGAACAAGCGCGGAGAAGUGGCCGCCUCCAUCAACCUCAACUUCAGCCCCGUGGACGAACCAAGCGAACGCCAAAUCGACGGCAUCGCGCCCACCUUCGCCAAGAAGCCCGGCAUCAAACAGGAGGACGAUGGCAAGCGCCUGCUGUUCGAGUGCCGGGUACUGGCUGACCCGCGACCCUCCAUCACCUGGUACCGGGACGGAGUACAGGUGCAGAACUCCCCCCGGCACAAGAUGGUGGUUGAGAAAGACGGGAACGCCUACUUUGCGAUGUUGGAGAUUCUGCAGGUGACGGUUGAGGACGCUGGGAAAUACCGCGUCACCGCCAAAAACGAGCUCGGAGAGAGCAACGCCACCAUCAGUCUCAACUUCGACAGUGAUGACGCGCCGGUACCCGAGGACGGGGUGCGGCCCACGUUCACCGAGCGGCCCAUCAUCCGACAGUCGGACGACGGCUCCACCAUCACCUUCGAGUGCCGCAUGGUCGGCGAUCCCAUGCCCAAAGUCAAAUGGUAUCACGGGAAAUCUCAUAUAAAGGAGAGUAGUAGGUACAACAUGUCCAUUGUCCAGGACACCAAACUGUAUUAUCUAGUGAAACUUGUAAUUAACAAAGUGGAAUCAAGCGACGGAGGCGAGUACACAGCGAUAGCGAAGAACAAGAUUGGAGAGGGCAAAGCGACCAUCAACCUCAAUUUUGAGGGAGGUGGAAAACCGAAAAUUCCCGACGGGAAGGCGCCGCGCUUCCCGAAGAAGCCAUCCAUCCGCCAGGAGGGCGACAACCUGCUGAUGACCUGCGUGCUGGAGGCGCACCCGAUGCCCGACAUCACGUGGUACCACGGCAACAGCAUCAUCACCCAGUCGCAGCGCGUCAGCAUCUCCAGCCAGGAGACGGGCAAGGACACGUACCUGCUGACGCUGACGAUCUCGAACCCCACCAAAGAGGACGGUGGUAACUACAGGUGCAACGCCUGUAACCAGUUCGGAGAGAGCAACGCCAACAUCGCACUUAACUUCCAAGCUGGCGAGGAGAAGCCGCGCGGUCGGGGGCCGCAGUUCACCGAGAAACCCAAGAUCCUGCCGAACGAGGACGGCACGCUCAUCACCAUGAAGUGCCGCGUCAAGUCGACCCCGCCGCCGGAGAUCACGUGGUACAAGGAGACGGAGCUGGUGCAGAGCUCAUCGCGUCUCUCCACUACCAUCAACAAGGUCUCCGAGAACGAGUACGAGGUCCUCCUCCUGCUGAAGGAGCCGGCGGCCGCCGACAGCGGCAAGUACCGCUGCCACGCAAAGAACGAGUUCGGCGAAACCAACGCCAACCUGUCGCUGAACAUCGAGCCGGAGCCGGAGCCGGAGCCGCCGGCCGGCCAGCCGCCCUCGUUUGUCGGCCCGCCGGCCAUACGCUCCGAGUCCGAGCGCGUCAUCCUGAUGGAGGUGCGCGUCCGCUCCGAGACGGCCAUCACCGUCAGCUGGACGCAGGCGGGCCGCGCGGUGCGCGAGACGGCCCGCCACCAGCUGACGCAGAAGGAGCAGAAGCACAUCCACACACUCCACCUGAGGAUACGGGACCCCCAGCCAGAAGAUGCUGGAAUGUACAAGUGCAAUAUCAAAAACGAGUUCGGCGAAAUCAACGCCAACCUAACUCUCAACAUCGAAGUGGUGCCGGAGGUGCGCCAGCAGCCGCGCGUGCAGAUCGUCCACCGACGCCGCACCGUCAUCAUCGAGGCCCGCAUCGCCUGCGUCAACCAGCCCGACAUCAACUGGAUCCACGAGAAACACUCGGUGGUGCGCGACUCCCGCCGAUCGGUCAAGGUCGAGAACGUCGCCCAGGGCGAAUAUGCGGUAAAACUGGAGAUCGAGAACGCCGCCGACAGUGACAAGGGAGAGUAUCAGCUGAUCGCCAAAAACGCCAAGGGCGAGGUCAAGUCCAAGACGGUGAAGGUCACGCAGCUCUUCGAGGAAGAGGAAGAAGAGGCGGAAGAGGAAGUCUCCGAGGUGUCUGAGGUGUCGAAGAAGGUCAAAAAGCCUAAGAAGGAGAAGAAAGAAGAAAAGGCUGUUGAACAGGUCGAGGAGAGUGUCGAGGUUGAGGAGGAGGUGUCUGAAGUGUCGGAGGUCGCCGAGCGACGGAUGAGCAGGGUGCAAAAGAUGGAGGCGAAGAUGGAUCAGCAGGUGGUGGAAGAGGAGGCGUCAGAAGUCUCCGAGGUCUCCGAAAUUUCCGAGAAAAAGGUGACCAAGGUAAAGAGAAAGAAGUCGGAGCAGGUCGAAGUUCCUGACUCCAAGGACAAGCCAAAGAAGGCCAUAGAGCAGGUAGAAGAGACGAAGACGGUUGUUGCUAAUGACAAGGCUGAGGAGGUGGUAGAAACUUCGGACGUAUCCGAAGUAUCCGAGAAACCAGCCAAAGAUAAGACCGACAAGCCUGACAAGCCCAAGGUCACCAAGAAAAAGGUCUCAAAGACAACGAAGCCGAAGCCCAAGGGAGACAAACCUGAGUUCGCAACGUUCCUGGAAUCCGCCUCUGUAGAGGAGGGAAAGGGCGCAGAUUUCAACUGCAAGCUCACAAAGGACGACAUGAAGGUGGAAAUCACAUGGUACAAAGACGGCGUGGAGCUCGACGAGACCAGGGACGUCUUUAUGAGUUUCGACGGCCAGAACAUCAUGCUGUCCAUCUCUCGGAUCAAGCUGGACGCGUCUGGCACCUACAAGGUGGUGGCCAAGAAUCAGUUCGGCUCGUCAGAGUGUUCCGCGCAGCUGACCGUCAACGAAAAAGUGGUCAUCGAGAAGCUGGAACUCGAUGAAGAGGACAAGAAACCGAGAAAGAAAAAGAAGGAAAAAGACACCCCGCAAGAGAAAACCAAGAAACCGAAGCAAGACGAAACAAAGCCAAAAGAUGACGAAAAGAUGGAAGAAGAUAUGGAAAUCUCAGAGGAUGAAGAAAUGGAGGACACAGACACUAAGGUAAAGGUCUCGGACAAGAAGCCCAAAGACACCAAAAUUGAUACGAAAAAGCCAGAAAAGGCCGUCGAUAAGACAAAGAAAAAGGAAUCAAAAACGCUCAAGGAAGAUAGUCCUGAGCCAGAAGAGAAGGACAAACCAAAAACAAAGCGACCGAAGGAUAAAAGGACCAAGGAAGACACAGACCAGUCCCCAGAGCCGGAAGAGCAGGAGUCUAUGUUAAAGAAACCGAAAGAAAAGAAGCCGAAGGUGGAAAGGGAAGAAAGCCCUGAACCUGAGAGCCCCAAAAAGGAUGAACCAACUGGUAAGAAAACAAAGGACAGGAAGGUAAGGCCAGGAAAAGACAAAAGCCCUGAGCCAGAAAGUCCAAAAGAUGAGCAUCGUCCGAAGAAAUCAAAAGAUGAGAAAUCGAGACCAGAAAAAGAGGAAAGUCCAGAACCCGAGAGUGACAUACAGGAUGAACAAAAAGCUCCGAAACCAAAGGAUAAAAAGGCACGAUCCGAUAAAGAGGACCUUCGUGAUAUUGACGAGCCCAAAAGUGACGAAACGACCCCAAAGAAACCAAAAGAAAGGAAGACACGACCGGGUAAAGAUGACGAUAAGCCAAAAACUGAUGAAGCAAAGCCCAAACAACCUACAGAAACAAAAUUGAGACCCGAAAAAGAAGAAAAGGAGGAAGAAAGUCCUGAAUCAGAAAUUACUGAGACAGACGAAUCUCAAACUAAGGUAACGAGGCAUAAAAAAUCAAAGCCGGAAAAACCAAAGAGUUCUGAACAAGAUAAGCCUGAACAGGAUGAGCCAAUCGCUAAAAAGCCAAAGGACAAGAAAACGAGACCGGGGAAGGAGAAAAGUCCAGAACCAGAAAGCGUCGAGACCGAUGAAUCGCACGUCAAGAAACCAAAAGACAUAUCAAAAACGGAGCGCGAAACAGCUCCAGAUGAAGAGAAGCCGGGUAAAGACGAGCCCACCACGAAAAAGCCCAAAGAAAAGAAACCGAAACCAGCGCAGGAGAUUGCUCCGGAGGACGAUAGCGAAAAGCCUGCAGAACCAAGUGCCAAAAAGCCGAAAAGUAAAAAAUCAAGAUGGGGCAAAGAAGAAAGUCCAGAGCCAGAAAAAUCCCCAAAGGACGAUACUGCUGCUCCUAAAGACGAAAAAACAAAAGAGAAACAGCCGAAAGACGCGGACAAGAAGCCGCGGAAAACCCGUCGCGCCAGGGACGCCAUUCCCGAGUCUCCGGACGCUGAGAUGGCCGAGCCGGCCGAGUUUGAGGGACAGCCGAGCGAGGAGCGGGCUCUGGCCAGCACCGAGAAGAGGAGGGACCGGCAGGUGGCCCGGCGGCGCGUGCCGCGCGUGGGCCGGCCCGACGAGGAGAGUCUGGACGAGACGGAGGAGGAGGAGGAGAUCUCCGUUACCACUACGACCACGCGGCGCCGAUCGUCGGUACAGAGAGUAGAGAUGAAAACCUCGUCCCGCAAGAGCUCCGUGCAGGCCGAUAGCGUCGACCAGCCCCUCCCAGAAAAGAAGUCCCCAGCACACCGCAGGGUUCAAGAGACGGAAGAUGUUGACACCGAGGACGAGGUGUCCGAAAUAUCCAUGUCCAUUGGCCAGUUCGAGCGUGAGGUGGCCAAACCAGACGACACAACGGUCCAAGAGCUCAUCGAGGGAAUGCAGGACCUUCAGCUUCCCCAAAAGGCGCACGCUGUCACCGAAGAGCGCGAAGAGAGCUUUGUAGCAAAACGGCGUGGCUCUCGAGAAGUCACUACUAACAAGCGGUGGCGCACGGCUCGCACUGGAAAAGAGGAUGAGCUAGAACCGGAGAAAGUGCGACAAGGUGUAUGGGAAGAACAUGAAUCCGAAGAAGAGGAAACGAUCACAGAGCAAACAACCGAAGAGGUCAUGAGAAAGACGCGAACAAGAAAGCGAAAAGAAGAGCCGGAAGAGCAGGAAACGUCGACCAAAGCUCUUCGCCCGGAAUGGAGAGAUGAUGCCUCCGAAAAGGAUGUCCAGAGAAGGCCAGAAGUUCAUCAGGCAGAACCAGAGACCGAUCAGAAGCCAGACGCUGAUGAUCAAAGACAACCGUGGUCCCGAAAGAAGAAGCCUGAUAAACGUCAAAGGGAGAAUAAAGAAGUUCAAGACUCAACAGAACCAACUAUGAAAGACAGGGAACCAGAAGAAAAGAAGAAACCAAAAGGAGAAAGGCCAAUCGACUCUCAGGAAAACCGAGAAGAGGUCGAUGAGACGAGUGAUACUCGCUGGGGUAAGAAGAUAAAGCCACGAAAGCCAGCAGACACGCGUCCUGACGACAAACAUGUGCCUGACGAAGAAAUGCCGGAAGAACGUAAGCUUCAUCCGAAGCAGCCAAAAGAUGACGAACCAGAAGUUAAAGAUAAGAUGAGGACAUCAAAGACGGGUGUCGAUGAGGAAUCCAUGGAUGAGGAUGAACAUUUUCCACGGGAAAAAGCUACCCGAGAUAAACCUGACAAAAGUGUCGAGGAGGAAAAACUGGUUUCCCCUAGAACUGAUGGUGAAACAACGCCGGAACAUCCCAAAACAAAAACAAAAAGGAAGGUCACAGAUCGACAUCGAAAACCAGACGAUGAGAAAGAGCCGGAAGAUUCGCAAACCAUACAGGAAGGAGAUGUAAAAACAAAGAGGAAAGAAAGCACCGCUAGGAAAUUGAAGAAAGGUGACGAAGACGAAGAAGAACCUGAAGAUAAAAAACCCUUGGUAAGAGAUGAAAGCGAUUCUACCCCAGAUGAAAUAUCUACCCCAUGGGGAAACAAAGUCAAACCUCGCAAAGGAAAGCCUGAAGAGCCACGAGAUGAAGAUGAUAGCUCACCUGAGGAUUAUAAACCAGAAGACAAAGACAAAGAGAAGUCAUUGCAACAAAAGAAGGGACCCAGUGAAGCGCAACCACUAAAAUCCAAAUCGCAACAGAGAAAAAGCCCAGGAAAACAUGUUCCAAGUGAGCAAAAACCAACCUCAUCCGAAUCAGACCAAGAUGCGCCCGAGAAAAUACCUUCUAGGAAACGAGAUCAAGAAACAGCUGGUGAAAAAGACCAAGACGAAAAAAUGCCGCGAAGGAAAAAGCCAAAACCAAAAGAUGUUGAAAGCAAAAAGCCUCAAGAGCAGCCGCAAGAUAAAAAGCGAUCCGAUACAGUAGAUGAAAAGCUAUCAUCAGCAGAGGACACGGAAGAAUCCAGUGCCAGUACGGUUGGCUCCGUGCGGGAGGUGAAAGACAAACGAAAAAUAGGGAAACAGGACAUCGAAGAUAAAGAAAGCAGACAGCUGACGGAUACAUCAGAGGAUUCCAAAGAACCUGAUGACCAGCAGAAAGAAAGACCGAGACGUCCUAAGUCCGAUGCAGAGUUGACGCCUUCAAGUAAGGAUGUUUCGCCUUCGGAACCUUCAGAUCAAACCCAUGCACCUACAUCAAAAGUACGUGAACCAAAGGCAGCCAAAGACGAUGAAAUAGAAGAGAUGGACAUUGAUAUGCAAGAAGUUAGUGAACCGACCGAAGAAGCAAAUGAUAUGCCGUGGAGGAGAAAGAAGGCAAGAAAGCCUGGCAAAAAGACAGCGCCUGAAGGUGCUAAGACUGAUGAAGGUAAGGACAAGCCAAAGAAACUAGACCGCGAUGACCAGACCGAUGAGGAGGCUGAUCAAAGACCUCGGAAGAGAAAGGAAAGUGACAAGGGAACUAAAAUAACGCAGCCAGAAACACCAACGACAAGGGACAAGACCCCCAAACAAAUGCCUGAAGAAGACGAAACAGCCCCAGAGGACGUAAACAAAAUAUCUCCUCACCCUGAUAAGCGCACAGACAAACCAAAAACAGAUAAAAUAGAGGAUGACGAGCACAUCGAAGCUCAAAAACCGAGGAAGGAUGAGGACACAACUACAAAAAGGCCAUCGAGAAAGAAACCUGACGACACUAAAACACCUGAAGCUACCAAGCCGAUAACAGACAGGCCAGAUGAAGUCAGGUCAGCAAGGAAGCCUGAAAAAAUCGCGCCAUGUGAUGAUGAGCCAGAAACAAAGCCAUCGGGGAAAAUGCCAUCGGCAGAACAAGAAUAUUUGGAUGAUGAAGGCGAGUUCCUUCCGAGACAGAGACCAAUGAAAAAGAAACGAGAUGAGGAAACACCACAGUCAGCGAUCGAUGUCAAAACAGAAAAACCUAAUGAAAGCCAGCCUGACGAAAAAACUCAGGAAGAUAAACUUGGUGAAGAUAGGACAGACAAAGCCCAGCCGAAUGCAGAUCAACACACGACAGCUGAAGAGCCUCAAGAUGAAGGUGUUCCAUGGCAAAGGUCGAAAAAGAAGCGCGACAAGAAGCCUACCACUAAAGCAGAAAAACCAGAUACAGAUGAGACAAAGUUGGACAAGAAGAAAGAGAAUGAACAAAUCAGCGAACAAGAAAAACAACAGACAGAUGAGCCCUCAGAGGAAAAGGAAACACCCAUAGAAGACGACGGACUUUUGCCGUGGCAGAGAGCAUUAAAAAAGAAGCGUGAGGAAAAGUCCACAGCUAAACCUUCGAGUGGCACGGAAGAAGCAAGAGACGAAGGCCGUCCCGGUGAUAAACUGACCGAAUUAAAACCCAAAGAACAUGAUGAAGACUUAACAAAAGAAAAACCGUCUUCACUUGAUGAUGCGCCGAAUGCAGAAAAGGACAAAAGGUCACCAUCAGGGAAACCCGAUGAAAAAACACGGAUAAAGCCUACUAAACUCGAUUCAGAUGAGCCAAUACAAGCUCAAGAUGAGAAGGAGAAACCUGAAAAGGAUGAUCAGAAACAUGAUAAAAUGCCAGAAGGAAAAGCAUCUGCUGACGAAGACAAACCCGUUGAAGACGAUGGACUUCUUCCUUGGCAGAGAUCCCGAAAAAAGAAACGGGAGAAAACAACGAUUCCCAGAUCUGACGAGCAGGAGGAUGGCAAAUCAACGGAAGAGAAGCCCGAAGCCAAGGAAAGCGAUAAGCCGGAGAAUAAAGAAGCUAAGCCAGUGGCAGAAGACCAGCCACCUGAAGAAGACGACGGCCUCCUUCCAUGGCAGAGAGCGCUGAAAAAGAAACGCGAAGAGAAGCAUACUCCCAAUACGUCUGACGAUAAGGAGAAGCCAACUGAUCACGACGGCAAGGACGAAAAACCGGGUGAAAAGAAGCCGAAGGACAGUCUACCGGAUGAAGACAAGCAAAAGGAGCCUACACAGGCGAAACCGCAGGAGUUGCCAGAAGAAGAUGAUGGACUCCUUCCUUGGCAAAGGUCAAUUAAAAAGAGACGAGAAAAGAAAGCUGUUCCGAAAGAUGAUGAACGUGACAAGGGUAGGGUCGCAGAUGCGCCAGAGUCAGAAAUGCCAGACAUGACAAGCGCAAAGAAACCAAGGGAAGACAAAGCACCGACAGCCAGCGACGAGAGCAGUCCAAUGGAAGUGGAUGCACCGGAAUUGUCGCAGCCUUCCGAUAAAAGUGAACCAUUGGACAAACGCCAGCCAAAGUCCAGUAAGAAAUCCAAAGACAAAAAGUCUCACGAUACUCAAGAUCAGCCGGCUAAAACCAAAGACGAGCCGAACACUGAGAGGAGACCUAGCAGAUUGCUGGAAGAUGUUGAGCCUGAGCAUGCCGGAGAGAGCUUUGCCAGAACUAAAUCCCUCUUAAGAAAAGCAAAACCAAAAGAGAAACCAAAGAAGGAAGAGGAAGCUGAGAUGUCUGUGCCCUGGGCCAAGCGCCCGCAGAUCACGGAGCUGAAGGUGCCAAAGUUUGCUGAAGUCAGCGAGGUUCCAGCAGUAGUUGUCGAGUCGCCGGGCGAGGAAGAAGACGGUCUUCUGCCAUGGCAGAGAUCAAUCAAGAAGAAGAAACGCGAAAAGAAAGCCACCCCGAGGACUUCGGACGCCGAGGAAGAGAAGUCGGCGGCAGAGGAGGCGCCAAAGAAGAAGAAGAAGAAGCCGCGCACUCGGCCGACCACCUCCGAUGUGGACGACACCCAGCCGGACGAGUCCUCGCCCUCCGAGGCUGACUCGAGUCGCCGCGGCUCGGCGGCGCCCAGUAGCAUCGCCGACGAGCCCAAAGACGAGGAGCGAAAGCCCAAAACAAAGCCAAAGAGACAGUCCGUGCCCAUAGAGAAUAAGACGCCGCAGCAGAUUCUCGCCGAGCAGCGCGCCGCGCUGUUACACCGCAAACAAAAGAAAGCCAAGGCCGAACAACAGACGGAGGAGGCUGCGCAACAGAUUAAACAAGUCCAUGAGGAGGUCAUUCCCCCGAAGGAAGAGCCAAAGAAAAAGGCCACCAGGCACCGGAUCCAGGUCGAGGAGACCGACUUCCGCAAGGUGCAGCUGCAGCCGACGCAGCGUCCCAAGCGCGCUGUGGUUGUCGAGGAGGAGGAGAAGUUCCCCAGCGUGACGCUGAAGCCGGUGGAGCCGAAGCCGAACCUGGCGCGACGCAAGUCCUCCGUCAGCUACCUGGAGGAGGGCGAGCAGUUCACCCUGACCCCGACCAUUGAGAUCAAGAAGGACGCGUCGCCGGCGGGCUCCCGGAAGGGCAGCCUGGCGCCGGGCGGCACGGGCAGCCGGCGCGGCUCGCUGAUCCCGCCCGAGGAGCAGCCGCGCCGCGCCUCCAUCCUCCUGCCCGACGACGAGCACAGAAAGGCCCGGCCCGGAGAGAUAUUUGAAGGAAAGCUGGGAGCCAAACUGCGUCCGGGAGAGAUGGGUGCCGAGCGUCGUCGCCCCUCGUCCGACGUCCGCCGUCCGUCCGUCUCCGAGAUGGAGGACCUCAUCAACAAGCCUUCGACGCCCCUGCGCGCCAUCGGCGAGCCCGGCCCGCCCACCAUCGUCGACAUCCAGGACAGCUACACCGUGGUCGAGGACGCCAAUGCCUUCUGCAUCCUCUCGGUAGAAGGCAACCCAGCUCCGACCUUCAAGUUCUUCAAGGGCAUCCAAGAGCUGGUGGAGGGCGGCCGGUACAAGUUCAUCACCACCGGCGAGACCAACACCAUCAUGCUCUGCAUCCGGAAGGCCAAGCCGCAGGACGAGGGCUACUACAAGGUGGUCAUCGCCAACGAGCACGGCGAGGACUCGGCAGAGUUCCAGCUCUUCGUCUCCGACGCCUCCGGCAUGGACUUCCGAGCCAUGCUGAAGAAGAGGCGGUACGCCAAGUGGGACAACGACCAGGGCGACCCGGACUGGGGCGACCUCAAGGAGGUCGACAAACCCCAGAUCCCGCAGCUCAAGAAGGUGGAAAAGAAGUCCGAGUCCUUCAUGAAGCCGUUGGUGGAUCUCACUGUCAAGGAAGGCAAGGACAAGGUGGCCACCUUCGAGUGCGUCUUCUCCAAAAGCAAGAUGAAGCCCAAGUGGCUCUUCAAGAGAGACGAGAUUUUCCCGGGCAACAAGUUCCAGUUCAAGACAGAAGGCAACACGUACUCUCUGAUCAUCGACAAGCCCAAGGUGGACGACUCGGGAAAAUACACCAUCGACCUGGGCGGCGUGCAGUCCACCGCCUUCCUCCUCGUCGAACAGCCGGACCCCAACUUCAAGUUCGUGAAGAACCUGCCGAAGCACACGGACGGCUUCUUCACCGAGGAAGUGGUACUCGAGUGCCAGGUCAACUCCCACAAGGCCAUCGUGCACUGGUACAAGGGCGAGGAGCAGAUCGAGGACAACGAGAAGUACAGCAUCAGCAAGGACAUGAUGGGCAACUGCCGGCUGACCAUCAAGGAGGGCGCCAAGGAGGACGCCGGCGACUGGAGCUGCCGGCUGUUCAAGCAGAAGGACAAGACGCACACCAAGGUCACCCUCAUCGACCGUCCGAUCCGGUUCACGCGCAAGCUGAAGUCGAUGGAGGCCGUGGAGAAGGGCAAGAUGGUGAUGGAGGUGCACACCGAUUACCCGUGCUCCGAGAUCAAGUGGUUCCGCGGCGACGAGGAGAUCGUGCCCGACGGAAAACACAUCAAGAUCGUCAGUGACGGGAAGAAGCACCAGCUGAUCAUCAAGCCGGUGAAGAUGUCGAUGGCCGGCGACUACACGGCCAAAACGAACGCCGAUACCACCACCGGCAACAUGCACGUCGAAGUGCUGAACAAGUUCCUGAAGAAGCUGGGUGACGAGGAGGGCACCGAGCGCGAGGACAUUGUGCUGGAGAUCGAGCUGGUCGACCACACGGCGCCGUGCGAGUGGUUCUUCGGUGACAAGCUGCUCGAGCCCUCGGACAGAUACGAAAUAAAGAACCUGGGCGGCGGCAAACAUCAGCUCAUCAUCAAAAACGCCCAGCUGAGCGACGAGGGCGACUACAUCUGCAAGUCUGACAAGGUCGAGACGCAGGGCCACCUCACCGUUCACAAGGGCGAGUCCAAGCCCAAGAUCAAGUUCGAGGGGCCCGUCACAGGCCCGGUCUUCAAGCCACUGACAUUCGAAGUUCCGUACAAGGUCUCUGGCAAACGUCAGUCGGACGUAGUCGGCAAACUGUUCUACCAGGGUCAGGCGCUGACCCAGAAGGAUGUGGAGAUCACCGUCAAAGAGAAGGUGGUCAUCUACAAGAUCCGCCACCCCAACAGUGACCAGAGCGGGGAGUACGAGAUCAAACUCUCCAAUAACCGCGGAGAGGACUCGUUGACCGUUCAGAUCAACAUGCAAGGCGUGCCGAAGGAGCCGGAGGAUGUCGAGGUGACCGACAUCUUCGCCAAGUCCUGCGUCGUCUCCUGGAAGAAGCCGCAGAGUGACGGAGGGGACGAGAUAAUAAAAUACGUCAUCGAGCGACAGGACCUCAGCAAAAAGGGCGGCUGGGACACGGUGGGCGAGACGUCGGCAGACGAGCUCACCUUCAAGUGCGAGGACCUGGUGCUCAAGAAGCGGUACAAGUUCCGCGUCAAGGCCAUCAACCGGCAGGGCGAGUCGGAGCCGGGCAUCGCCAGGGGCGAGAUCCUGGCCAAGGACCCCUGGGACGCAGAGACAUCUACAGAUGGCACAUCCAAAGACGAGCCCGGCAAGCCGGGUAACGUGGAGCUCACCGACUGGGACAAGGACCACGCCGACCUCAAGUGGACCAAACCGGAGAACGACGGCGGCGCGCCCAUCACCGGAUACGUCAUCGAGUACAAGGAGAAGUUCGGCUCCGACUGGGUGGAGGGCAAGUUCAUCUCGGGCGAUGUGGAGUCGGGCACCAUCGACGGCCUCACCGAGGGCAAGUCGUACGAGUUCCGCGUGCGGGCAGUCAACAAGGGCGGCAAGGGCGAGCCGUCCGACCCCACCAAACCCAUCAUCGCCAAGAGCCGCUUCGUUAAGCCGUACAUCAUCAACAAGGACGAGUUCAAGAACAUCGUCAUCAAGAAGAACCAGACGAUCACGCUGGACAUUCGGUACGGCGGCGAGCCCGAGCCCGAGGUCAAGUGGCUGAAGAACGGGGAGGAGAUCGUCCCAGAUGGCGACAGGAUCACGAUCGACAAGUACGAGAAGAACACGGUGAUCACCGUUCGGCGCUGCGAGCGGCCCGACACGGCCAAGUACCGGCUGGUGCUUACCAAUACCUCCGGAUCCUGCGAGGGAGAGGCCGACGUCGUCGUGCUCGGCAAGCCGUCGCGUCCCGAAGGUCCGCUGGAGGUCACUGAGGUCAGGGAGACCAAGGCCACCGUCAAAUGGAAGAAGCCCAAGGACAACGGCGGCCAGGACCUCAAGGGAUACGUCCUCGAGAAGAUGGACAUGGACUCGGGCCGCUGGGUCCCGGCAGGCGAGGUGGACCCGGACAAGACCGAGGCCACCAUCGAGGGUCUGACGCCUAAGAAGAAGUACAAGUUCCGCGUGCGGGCCGUCAACAAGGAGGGCGAGUCGGAGCCGCUCGAGACUGACGAGGCCAUCGAGGCCAAGAACCCCUACGACGAGCCCGACACCACCGAAGGAGGCGAGCCCGGGAAGCCCGGGAAGCCGGUGAUUGACGACUACGACAACACGAUGGUGAAGCUCAAGUGGACGAAACCGGAGAGUGACGGCGGCCGGCCCAUCACCCACUAUGUCAUCGAGAUGAAGGACAAGUUCUCCGACUGGAGCGAGGUGAAGAAGACUCCUGACGAUAACUGCGAGACGGAGGUGGAGAACCUGAAGGAGAACAUGACGUAUCAGUUCCGAGUGCGCGCGGUCAACAAGGCCGGCCCCUCGCUGGCCUCCGAGCCCACCGACAACCACAUCUGUAAACACAGAAAUCUGAAGCCGCGUAUCGACCGGACCAACAUGGUAAUGAUCACCAUCAAGGUGGGCCGCUCGCACAAGUACUCGGUGGACGUGCGAGGCGAGCCGCCGCCAGAGCUCACCUGGUCCUGGCGCGACAACGUGCCCCUCCAGAACACCGAGAACAUCAAGAUCGAGAACGUGGACUACCACACGGACUUUAGCAUCGAGAAGGCCACCAGGAAGGACUCGGGCAUCUACACGCUGAAGGCCGAGAACAGGAACGGAAAAGACGAGGCCCAGUGCGAGCUGGUCGUACUCGGAAAGCCGACCCGUCCGAACGGUCCGCUGGUGGUGGAGGACGUGUACGACAAGGGCGCGAUCCUCAAGUGGAAGAAACCCGACGACGACGGCGGCAUGCCCAUCAAGGAGUACGUCAUCGAAAAGAUGGACAUGGACACAGGUCGCUGGGUGCGGGCCGGCCGGUGCCCGGGCGACAAGGAGCACCCGCAGUUCCACGUCAGCGACCUGACCCCCGGCCAGGACUACAAGUUCCGCGUGGUGGCCGUCAACGACGAGGGAGACUCGGAGCCCCUAGAGACCGAGGGCGCCAUCAAGGCCAAGAAUCCCUACGAUAUCCCGGACCCGCCUGGCAAGCCGGAGAUCACCGACUACGAUAACAAGUCGGUCGACCUCAAGUGGCGGGCUCCCAAGAGCGACAACGGCGCUAAGAUCGAAAAGUACAUUGUCGAGAAGCGGAACAAGAAGACCGGAGACUGGGAGAAGGUCGGAGAGACUCCGGGCGACGAGCUGACGAUGAAGGUGGAGGACCUGGUGGAGCGCCAGGAGUACCAGUUCCGCGUCAAGGCCGUCAACAAGGCCGGACCCAGCGAGCCGUCCGAGGCCACCGACUGGCACAUGGCCAAACACAGGAAACUGGGACCUCGCAUCGACCGUACCAACCUGAAGAUGACCAAGACCCGGGCAACGAAGCAGGUGGCGUUCGACGUCGACAUAAAGGGCGAGCCGGCACCCAAAGUCAAGUGGUACUUCAAGGACGAAGAGGUUGCCGAGCCGAACAUAACGAUCGUGAACGUGGACUACAACACCAAGUUCACCCUCAAGGACAGCCUGCGGAAGAACACCGGCAUCUACAAGAUCGUGGCGGAGAACAUGCACGGCAAAGACGAGGCCGAGGUCGAGAUUGUCGUUCUUGCGGCUCCGUCGCGGCCCAAGGGUCCCCUGGAGGUGUCGGACGUCACUGCCAAGGGCUGCAAGCUCAAGUGGAAGAAGCCCGAGGACGAUGGCGGCACCCCCAUCCAGGGAUACGCCAUCGAGAAACUGGACACCUCGACCGGUCGCUGGGUGCCGGUGGAGAAAGUGGGUCCGAACGACACAGAGGCCAACAUCGGCGGACUGGUCGAGGGCAAGGAGUACCAGUUCCGGGUCAAGGCCAUCAACGACGAGGGAGAGUCCGAGCCGCUCGAGACGGAUCACGCAACACUAGCCAAAAACCCCUACGACGUUCCGACCAAGCCCGGCACGCCGGAGAUCGUAGACUGGGACGAGACGAGCGUUAGCCUCAAGUGGGAGCGUCCCAAGAGCGACAACGGCGCGCCCAUCACCGGCUACAUCAUCGAGAAGAAGGAGCGCUUCGGCAGCUCCUGGGAGCCCUGCCUCGAGACCAAGGGCCCCAGCACGGAGGCUAAGGUGCCGGACUUGACGGAGGGCAAAAUCUAUCAGUUCCGCGUCAAGGCGGUGAACAAGGCCGGUCCCUCGGAGCCGAGCGACUCCACCGGCCAGCACCUCUGCAAGGCCAGAUACCUGAAGCCGUGGAUCAACCGCGAGAAGUGCAAGCCGGUGACGGUGCGCGCCGGCCAGAUCGUCCGACUGGACAUUGACGUGCGGGGCGAGCCGCCGCCGAAGAUCACCUGGACGGUGGCCGGCCAGGAGCUGGGCACGGACGCCCACCAUCGGAUAGAGAACGAGGACUACAACACGCGCCUGCAGAUCACAGACACGUCGCGCAAGCAGUCCGGGAAGUACGUCAUCCGGGCCGUCAACGACUCCGGCUCGGACGAGGCCGAGAUUGACAUCACCAUCCUCGACAAGCCGGGUCGGCCGGAAGGUCCACUGGAGAUCACGGACGUCCACAAGAGCCACUGCAAGCUAAAGUGGAAGAAGCCCAAGGACGACGGCGGUCUGCCCAUCACCGGCUACAUCAUCGAGAAGAUGGACACGUCGACGGGCCGCUGGCAGCCGGCGGCGCGCACUGACGGCGACACCACCGACACCGAGGUCAAAGGCCUCGAGCCCGGCAAGCGGUACGAGUUCCGCGUCAAGGCCGUCAACGACGAGGGGGAGUCGGAGCCGCUGGACGGCGACCAGAGCAUCCUCGCCAAGGACCCGUACGACCCACCGGGUGCUCCGUCCAUCCCCGACAUCGUCGACUGGGACGAGAACAUGGUGGAGCUCAAGUGGGAGCCGCCGCUGCGUGACAACGGCGCGCCCAUCACCGGCUACGUGCUGGAGAUGCGGCCCGAGGGCUCGCACGACUUCGUCAAGGCCAACGAGGUCGGCCCCGGCUGCAAGGGCAAGAUCACCGGCCUGACGCCAGGCCAGAAGUACGAGUUCCGCGUGCGGGCCGUCAACAAGGCCGGCGUCGGAGAGCCGAGCGAGGCGACCACGCCGCACCUCGCCAAGGCGCGAUUCCUGAAGCCGCGAAUCGUGCGCGACAACCUUCAGCCGGUGGUGGUGAAGGUGAACCAGCAGGUGCUGCUCGACGUGGACAUCAUCGGAGAGCCGCCGCCAACCGUCACAUGGACCUUCAAGGGCAAGGACGUGGAGACUGGCCGCGAGCUGACCAUCACCAACGUGGACUACAACACCAAGUUCGCGCUGUUCCGCGCCAAGCGCGGCCACACUGGCAAGUACACGGUGACGGCGAAGAACUCGCAGGGCGAGGAUACGGCCGACGUAGAGAUCACCGUGCUCGGCAAACCGUCGCGGCCCGAGGGACCCCUGGAGGUGUCUGAGGUCACGGCCAACGGCUGUAAGCUGAAGUGGAAGAAGCCGGAGGACGACGGCGGAGCGCCGAUCGAGUACUACGAGAUCGAGAAACUCGAUCCGUUCACCGGCCAAUGGGUGCCGUGCGGCAAGUCCAGCACGCCAGAGGCGGAGGUCACCGGCCUCCAGGAGGGCAAGAAGUACAAGUUCCGGGUCAAGGCUGUCAACAAAGAGGGCGAGUCAGAGCCGCUCGAGAACGAGGAGCUCAUCCUCGCCAAGAACCCGUAUGAUCCGCCAGAGAAGCCCGAGCGGCCUGAGCUGGUCAACUGGGACAAGGACUUCGUGGACCUCAAGUGGAAGAAGCCCAAGGACGGUGGCGCGCCCAUCACCAGCUACAUCAUCGAGGCCCGGGAUAGGGACGACCGCGCCUCCGGAUGGCAAAAAUGCCUCUCCACACCCGGAAACCACCUGGAGGGUCGUGUCACGGACGUCGUGCCGGGACACGAGUACGAGUUCCGCGUGAUCGCCGUGAACAAGGCCGGUCCCUCGGAGCCGUCCGACGCCUCAAAGUCGGUCGUCUGCAAGCCCAGAUUCCUGAAGCCGCGCAUCGACCACCGUAACCUGGACAAGAAGGUGAUCCGCAGCGGUCAGAUGCUGCGCGUCGAGAUCGACAUCGAGGGUGAGCCGGCGCCCAAGGUGACCUGGGAGCUGGACGGGCAGCCGCUGAGGCCCCGUGAACGGCUCACCAUCGAGAACGAGGACUACCACUCGACGUUCGUGCUGCUGCGCGCGCAGCGCAGCGACACGGGCAAGUUCACCAUCACGGCCAGCAACGACUCGGGCACCGACACCGCCGAGCUCGACCUCACCGUCGUCGGAAAGCCGGGCAAGCCGAAGGGUCCCCUGGAGGUUUCUGACGUCACCGCCAAGGGCUGCAACCUCAAGUGGGAUAAGCCGGAGGACGACGGCGGCGAGCCGAUCGACCACUACGUGGUGGAGCGGAUGGACAUGGACACGGGCCGCUGGGUGCCCGUCUGCACCAGCAAGCUGCCCGAGGCCGAGGUGGACGGACUCAACGAGGGCAAGGAGUACCAGUUCCGCGUCAAGGCCGUCAACCCGGAGGGCGAGUCGGAGCCGCUCGAGACCGUGCUGGGAACCGUGGCCAAAAACCCGUACGACGUUCCCGACGCGCCUGGAGCGCCGGAUAUUGUCGACUGGGACAAACACCGCGUGGACCUCAAGUGGAAGGCACCGAAACGCGACGGUGGUGCACCUAUCACCGGAUACAUCAUCGAAAAGAAGGAUCAGUACAGCACCAAAUGGCAGAAGGCGGUGGACAUCCCCGGCACGAAGUGCGAGGGUCGCGUGCCCGACCUCACAGAGGGUCUCAAGUACAAGUUCCGCGUGCGUGCCGUCAACAAGGCGGGUCCGUCGGAGCCGAGCGACGAGUCCAAGAGCAUCCUGGUGAAGGCCAGAUACGCUGCCCCAUACAUCGACCGCACCAACCUGCGCGACAUCACGAUCCACGCCGGAGCGCCGUUCAAGUUCGACGUCAAGAUCACGGGCGAGCCGCCGCCAACCAAGACUUGGUUCAUGAACAAGGCGCGGCUGGACAGCCGGGACAACCUCACCAUCGACGUGGAGGACUACCGCACCAAGCUGUCCGUGUUCAUGGCCACCCGCAAGGACACGGGCAGCUACGUCAUCAAGGCGGAGAACGACUCGGGCAAGGACGAGGCCGAGGUCCAGGUCACCGUGCUGGACAAGCCCAGCAAACCCGAAGGUCCGUUGAAGAUCUCGGACGUCCACAAGGAGGGCUGCACGCUCAAGUGGAACGAGCCGCUGGAUGACGGCGGCCUACCGAUCGAGGGCUACGUCGUCGAGAAAUUCGACACUGAUACUGGUCGCUGGAUGCCCGCCGGCCGCUGCUCCAAGCCCACCAUGCAGGUGGACAACCUGAUCCCUGGCCAUGAGUACAAGUUCCGGGUCAAGGCCGUCAACCCCGAGGGCGAGUCGGAGCCGCUCGAAGGCGACCACUCCAUCAUCGCCAAGAACCCCUUCGACGCACCCGGGGAGCCGGGCCGGCCGGAGCCGACCGACUGGGACAAGGACUUCUGCGACCUCAAGUGGAAGGCACCCGACUCAGACGGCGGCGCGCCCAUCACCGGCUACGUCAUCGAGAAAAAGGAGAAGGGCUCCAGCAAAUGGAUCAAGGCCGCCGAGACCAAGGGUCCCGACUGCACGGGCCGCGUGCCGAACCUGGAGGAGGGUCAGACGUACGAGUUCCGCGUGCGGGCCGUCAACGAGGCCGGACCAGGCGAGCCAAGUCAGCCGUCCCGCUCCAUCACGGCCAAACCCAGGAAACUGGCUCCCAAGAUCGACCGUCGCAACGUGCGAGACCUGACCGUACGCGAGGGAGAGCCGAUCAUGUUCGACAUCAAGGUCAAGGGCGAGCCGGCGCCGGACGUGACCUGGGCCAAGGACGGCCGGCCCAUCAAACAGUCGGCCCACAACCGGGUCGAAAACGAGCCGUACAGGACCAAGUACACGAACGACACCCCGAAGCGGGGCGACUCGGGCGUAUACACGAUCCAGGCGACCAACCAGCACGGCCGCGACGAAGCCACCAUCGAGAUCACCGUCGUCUCCAAGCCGUCGGCGCCCGAGGGUCCUCUGGAGGUGUCGGACGUCCACAAGGACGGCUGCAAGCUCAAGUGGAAGCCGCCGCUGGACGACGGCGGCGAGCCCAUCGAGGGAUACGUGGUCGAAAAGUACGACCCCGACGUGGGCAUCUGGAUCCCGAUCGGCAACUCGGUGCGCCCCGAGAUGGAGGUCAGCGACCUCACGCCGGGCCACGAGUACCACUUCCGGGUGAAGGCGGUCAACAAGGAGGGCGAGUCCGAGCCGCUGGAGACGCUGGCGCCGAUCGUCGCCAAGGACCCCUUCACCGUGCCGGAGAAGCCGGGCGCGCCGGAGGCGGUCGACUGGUCCACCUCGCAUGUGGAGCUCACGUGGAAGGCGCCGGCGCACGACGGAGGCACCCCCAUCACCGGAUACAUCAUCGAAAAGAAGGACAAAUACGGCUGUAUGUGGGAGAAGGCGUGUGAGCUGGACGGCCCCGAGUGCACGGGCUCGGUGCACGGACUGAUCGAGGGAGUCCAGUACCAGUUCCGCGUCACCGCCGUCAACAAGGCCGGCCAGUCGGAGCCCUCAGAGCCCAGCAAACCCAUCACAGCAAAGGCCAGAUUCCUCGCGCCGAAGAUCGACCGUCGUAACCUGCGCGAUAUCACCAUCUCGGCCGGCUCCAUGGUCAAGUUUGACGUGGACGUCUCCGGAGAGCCCGCGCCCACCACCAAGUGGUUCAAGGAGGGCUUCGAGCUCAAGCCGACCAAGCAGCUGAACAUUGACGACAAGGAGUACAACACCAAGUUCGUGCUGCGUAACGCCAAGCGGGGCGACUCCGGGGAGUACACCAUCACGGCGCAGAACAGCUCCGGAAAGGACACUGUCACCGUCACCGUGACGGUCACCGACAAACCCGGCAAACCUGAGGGACCGCUCAAGGCUUCGGACGUGCACAAGCACGGCUGCAAGCUCAAGUGGCGCCGGCCGAAGGACGACGGUGGCACCCCGGUGGAGUACUUUGAGGUGGAGAAGCAGGACCCGCUGACGGGCAUCUGGACGCCGGCCGGGCGCGCCGACCAGCCCGAGAUCGAGCUAAACAACCUCACCCCCGGCAAGGAGUACAAGUUCCGCGUCAAGGCCGUCAACGCCGAGGGCGAGUCGGAGCCGCUCGUCGGCGAGGAGACGGUCGUCGCCAAAAAUCCCUACGACGAGCCGGACGCGCCCAAGAACCUGAAGGCGACUGACUGGGACAAGGACCACGUGGACCUGAAGUGGGAGCCGCCGCUGAACGAUGGUGGCUCGCCCAUCACCGGCUACCUCGUGGAGAAGAAGGACAAAUACGGCAACUGGGAGAAGGCGCUCGAGGUGCCGGCCGACCAGCUGAAGGCCACUGUCCCCGGGCUGACCGAGGGCGAAAAGUACGACUUCCGCGUGAAGGCCAUCAACGCCGCCGGGCCCGGAUCGCCGAGCAACAACACGGGUCCGAUCACGGCCAAGCCGCGCAACCUGGCGCCCAAGAUCGACCGCACCAACCUGAUCCAGGUGAAGGUGCGCGCCGGACAGAACUUCAGCUACGACGUCAACGUGGCCGGUGAGCCGCCGCCAGAGAAGCGGUGGACGCUGGCUCGCAAAACCGUCACCCCGUCCGACCGUAUCAGGAUCACGCCGUCCGACUACAACAUCAAGCUGCAGGUGCGGAACGCGCACCGCAGCGACUCGGGCACCUACACGCUGACGGCCGAGAACGAGAACGGAAAGGACACCGCCGACGUCGAGGUCAUCGUACUCGACAAGCCGGGUCCUCCGAACGGACCACUGCAGGUGUCUGACGUUCACGCCGAGGGCUGCAAGCUCAAGUGGAGGCCACCCUCAGACGACGGCGGGCUGCCCAUCCAGAAAUACAUCGUCGAAAAGAUGGACGAAGCCACCGGCCGUUGGGUGCGCGCCGGCGAGACGGACGGCCCGCAGACCGAACUGGAGGUGGACGGUCUGGUGCCCGGCAAACACUACAAGUUCCGCGUCAAGGCCGUCAACAAGGAGGGCACCUCCGACCCGCUCACCACACCGCACAGCAUUGAGGCCAAAAAUCCCUUCGACGAGCCGGGCAAGCCUGGUACUCCGGAGAUCACCGAUUAUGACCGCGACUUUGUCGACCUGAAGUGGAAGCCGCCAGAAUCGGACGGUGGCUCCCCCAUCCAAGAGUACAUCGUCCAGCGUAGGGACAAACUCAACCCGAAAUGGGACGACGUGAUGCGCGUGCCGGGCGACAAGCCGCACGCGCACGUGCCGAACCUGAUCGAGGGCAAUGUGUACGAGUUCCGCGUGGUGGCGGUGAACCGGGCUGGUCCGGGCGCGCCGUCAGACGCCACGGCGCCGCACACCGCCCGCGCCAAGAACCUGGCACCGCGGAUCGACCGCACGGCCAUGACGGAGCUGAAGCUGCGCGCCGGACAGACGAUCGAGUUUGACGUGCCCGUCACCGGCGAGCCGCCAGCAACCAAAAAAUGGACAUUUCAGUCGAGUCCCCUGGAGGCGUCUGACCGGGUGAAGAUCACGCCCGAGGACUACCUGAUCAAACUGCGGGUGUUUGACGUGAAGCGCGCCGACUCCGGAGACUACACGCUGACGGCGGAGAACCGCAACGGACGGGACACCAACACCGUCCGGGUCAACGUAAUGGAUGUGCCGUCGCCGCCGCAGGGCCCGCUGCGUCACUCUGACGUCACGAAGUCGGGCUGCACGCUCAGCUGGAAGGUGCCCAAGGACGACGGCGGCUCCGACAUCACCCACUACAGCGUGGAGAAGAUGGACGCCGACACCUUCCGCUGGGUGCCCAUCGGUGACAGCCCGCGCUGCCACAUGAAGGUGGACCACCUGAUUGAGAACCACGACUACAAGUUCCGGGUGUACGCGGUGAACCGGAUGGGCCAGUCGCUGCCGCUGACUGGCACCGAUACCGUCACCGCCAAGGACCCCUUCAAGAAGCCCGACAGGCCCGGAAAGCCCACGGCGACCGACUGGGAUCGGGACCACGUGGACCUGGAGUGGCCGGCGCCCAAACAGGACGGCGGCUCGCCUAUCAGCAAAUACAUCAUUGAGAAGAAGCCCAAAUACGGUAUGUGGGAGAAGGCCGCCGAGGUGCCCGGCGACAAGACGCGCGGCACGGUGCCGGACCUGAGCGAGGGUGAGCAGUACCAGUUCCGCGUGAUCGCCGUCAACCAGGCGGGCCCGUCGGAGCCCGGAGAGUCCAGCGAUACAGUCACCUGCAAACCGCGCUUCGUCAAGCCAUCGUUCAACAAGUCUGCUCUGGAGGAUCUGGUGGUUCGCGCUGGAACCCGAAUUCAGUACAACAUUCCCUUCGAGGGAUCUCCGAAGCCGAAGGUGCAGUGGCAGGUGAGCGGCAAGGUGCUGGAGCCCUCGGAGCGGGUGGACCUGCAGACGUUCUCCGGCCACACCACGCUGGACAUUCCGUUCUCGCUGCGCUCCGACUCGGGCCCGUACCGACUGACGCUGAGCAACGAGCUCGGCUCGGACUCGGCGCAGGCCACCGUCACCGUGCUCGACAAGCCGUCGCCGCCUCAAGGCCCGCUCAAGGUGUCUGACGUCAACAAGGACGGCUGUAAGCUGGCCUGGCGGGAGCCGGAGGACGACGGCGGCUCUCCCAUCACCCACUACCUGGUGGAGAAGAUGGACACGUCCAGAGGCACCUGGACAGAGGUCUGCCAGAGCUCGAACCUGAGCGCCGACGUGAUGGGCCUGGUGCACCGCAAGGAGUACAUGUUCCGCGUCAAGGCCGUCAACAACAUCGGCGAGUCGGAGCCGCUCAAGACGGACCGCAGCAUCAUCGCCAAAAACGAGUGCGACGAGCCCGACGCGCCCGGCCGUCCCAUCGUCACCGACUGGGACAGCGACUUUGUCGAGCUCGAGUGGACCAAGCCGCGCCACGACGGCGGCGCGCCCAUCACCGGGUACAUCAUCCAGAAGAAAGCCAAGGGAUCGCCCAUCUGGCAAAACGCCGCCCGCGUGCCCGCCGAUAAGACGAAGGGUGUCGCGCCUGACCUGACCGAGGGUCAGGAGUAUGAGUUCCGUAUCAUCGCCGUCAACAAGGCCGGCCAGUCGGAGCCCAGCGAGCCCUCUGACCUGGUCAUGGCCAGGCCGCGAAGACUGGCGCCCAAGAUCAAGACGCCGAUGACGGAGCUGCGUAUCAAGGCGGGUCAGAUCCUGCACAUCGACAUCGACUAUGUGGGCGAGCCGGACCCGACCGUAGAGUGGCUGGUCAACGGACACCCGCUGCAGCUCUCCGAGAGGACGACGAUGACGGCCAUCAACCACCACACGGUGGUCCACUCGGUGAACGCGCAGCGCGGCGAGUCGGGCAACUACCUGCUGCGGCUCACCAACGACUCCGGAUCCGACGAGGGUGUGAUGGAGGUGAUUGUGCUGGACAAGCCGAGCCCACCGGAGGGUCCGCUCGAGUACGACGAGGUCACCUCCAGCACCGUGAGUCUCUCCUGGAAGCCGCCCAAGGACGACGGAGGCAGCCCCAUCACCGCCUACAUCGUGGAGAAGCGCGACCUGACGCACGGCGGCGGCUGGGUACCGGCCCUGCAGUACGUCGACCCCAAGAACACGCACGCCACCGUGCCGCGCCUGCUCGAGGGCACCGAGUACGAGUUCCGCGUGCGGGCCCAGAACCUGCAGGGGGUCUCCGAGCCGCUCACCACCGACAAACCCGUCGUCGCCAAAAACUCCUUCGGUGUGCCAGGCAUGCCGGGCCGUCCGGAGGCGGUGGAUGCCGACAAGGACUUCAUCAAGAUCCGCUGGCAGCCACCGCGCUCCAAUGGCGGCAGCCGCAUCACGGGCUACGACGUGGAGCGGCGCGAACACAUGACCGGCCGCUGGACCAAGAUCAGCAGGAACCCGGCGCCGGGCAACGACUACCGGGACGACACGGUGCGGGAGGGAAAAUUGUACGAGUACCGAGUGACGGCCAUCAACGCCGCCGGACCGGGCAGCCCGUCCGACCCGUCCCACACCAUCACUGCCCGGCCCAUGAAAGAGCCGCCGAAGCUGAACCUGGACGGCAUCUUGGGCCGGAAGAUCCGCGUCCGCGCCGGAGAGCCGAUCGACAUCCGGAUCCCGAUGAGCGGAGCGCCGCAGCCGACCGUCGAGUGGACCCGCGACGGCCGCAAGGUGUCUCACGGCGGCCGCGUCGAGAUGGACACGACGCCCGAGUACACGACGUUCCACAUCCCGCGCUCGACGCGCGACGAUGCCGGCAAGUACACGGUGACGGCGACGAACGCCUACGGCUCGGACAAGGGCGACCUGGAGGUGAUCGUGGUGGACAAGCCGGGCCCGCCGCGCGGCCCGCUCUCCUACGACCAAGUCACCGGCACCAGCGUCACCAUGACCUGGCUGCCGCCUUCCGACAACGGAGGCUCCGACAUCACCGGUUACCAAGUGGAGAUGGCCGACUACGGCAUGGACAACUACCGGCCGGUGCCCGGCUACAUCCCCAGCCCGACCUUCACCGUCAAGGGUCUCACCGAGGGCAAGCGCUACAUGUUCCGCAUCAGGGCCGAGAACAUGUACGGCCUCUCCGAGCCGCUCUCCGGCAAGGAGGUCACGGCCAAGAAUCCGUUCGAGGCUCCGGGAGCGCCGAGCGCGCCGAAGAUAGUCUCCUACUCACCGACCGGUGUCAACCUGACCUGGAACCCGCCAGAGGACAACGGCGGAAACCCCGUCUCAGGUUACAUUGUGGAGCGUCGGGACCGCGGCGGCCAGUGGAUCAAAUGCAACAACUACCCGGUACCCAACACGAGCUUCAACGUGGGCCACCUCUCGGAGGGCACCCGCUACGAGUUCCGCGUGAUCGCCGUGAACGACGCGGGCCCGGGCAAACCGAGCAGGCCGUCCGAGUCGGUCACCUGCGGACCCAUGACCUACAAGCCGAGCGCACCGGAGGCUCCUCGUCCGGACCGUAUCACCAAGGACUCGGUGACACUCUCCUGGCGGGCGCCCAACGACGGUGGUGCCAAGAUCCGCGGCUACUUCAUCCAGAAGCAGCCCAAGGGCAGCAAGGACUGGAUCCCGUGCAACGACACGCUGCACCCGCUCAACUCGUUCACGGUGCCGGGCCUGACCGAGGGCGACGAGUACUCGUUCCGCAUCAUCGCCGUCAACGAGGUCGGCGAGUCCGAGCCCGGAAAACCGUCGCCGCUCAUCAAGGUGGAGGAGCAACCGAACAAGCCGCACAUCGACAUCACCGGCAUCCGCGACAUCACGGUGCGCGCCGGCCAGGACUUCAGCAUCCACGUGCCGUUCACGGGCUUCCCGCAGCCGGUAGCCACGUGGACGCGCGACGACGCGCCCAUCGAGGACGACUCGCGCGUGCACCGCCAGCUGUCGGACGACUCGGCCAGCUUCGUGAUGAAGAACGCCCAGCGCGGCGACACCGGCCCGUACAAAGUGCACCUCAAGAACCCGUCCGGAUUCGACACGGCAGUCUGCAACGUCAAGGUGCUGGACCGUCCGUCUCCGCCCAGCGACCUGCGCGCGGACGAGUUUGGCGGCGAGAGCCUCACGCUGCUGUGGAAGCCACCCAAGGACGACGGCGGCGCCAACAUCACAAACUACAUCGUGGAGAAGCGCGAGCGUGGCGCCAGGGACUGGACCAAGGUGUCAAGCUACGUGUCCGGCACGGCUCUGCGGGUGAAGAACCUGACCGUGGGCCGCGACUACGACUUCCGAGUCAGUGCCGAGAACCAAUACGGUAUCUCGGAUCCGUGCCCGACCUCAGAGCCCGUCAAGGCCAGACAUCCGUUCGACGUGCCGGGCGCUCCUGGCGCCCCGCGCGGCCUGGACACCUCCGAGGACUCGAUCACGCUGACCUGGCUCCGGCCGCGCCACGACGGCGGAUCCAUCAUCACCGGCUACGUGCUGGAGAAGAGGAUCCCCGGCGAGAGCUGGUCCAAGGCCAGCCACGGCACCAUCCAGGACCUCCAGUACAGGGUGAUCAACCUCACGGAGGGCCAGGAGUACGAGUUCCGUGUGGCGGCCAAGAACGCUGCCGGACAAGGCCCGUGGAGCAAUCCGUCCGACCCGAUCAAGGCUCAGGCGCCGCCGAGCGCGCCCAAGAUCACGUCGGACCUGGCGAUCCGCGACAUGACGGUGAUGGCCGGCGAGCCAUUCACCAUCACUGUGCCGUUCACGGCCUCGCCCCGACCCCGGCCCAGCUGGACCGUCGGAGGCGAGGAGGUCGUCCAGGACGAACGCAUCAAGUUCGAGACCAGCGACACCACGACUAUCUUCCACAACAAGCGCGCCAAGCGGUCGGACCAGGGCAGCUACACGAUCCGCCUGUCGAACUCGGAGGGCUACGACACGGCCACCUGCCGCGUCCAGGUGGUCGACAAGCCCACCGCGCCACAGGGACCGUUGGACAUCUCGGACAUCACGCCCGAGAACUGUUCCCUGUCCUGGAGGCCGCCGGCCGACGACGGAGGGUCGCCCAUCACAAACUACGUCGUCGAGAAGAUGGACGUCUCGUCGGACAUCUGGAUGAAGGCCUGCAGCUUCGUGCGCGGCUGCUCGUACGAAGUGAUGGGUCUGGAGCCGAACCACAAGUACCUGUUCCGUGUGCGCGCCGAGAACCAGUACGGACUCUCGGAGCCGCUCGACUCGGACGAGCCGAUCACGGCCAAGUUCCCGUUCACCGUGCCCGAUCCGCCGGGCCGGCCCAAGGUGCUCGACUGCACCUCCAGCUCGGCCAAACUCAUGUGGGAGCGGCCCAACUCGGACGGUGGAUCAAAGAUCCAGGGCUACAAGCUCGAGAUGCGCGACGUCACAGACGAGAUGUGGCGCGACUGCAACGACUACCUGGCGCGCGACACCGUCCACCAGGUCAACGCACUCCUCGAGGGACACGAGUACGAGUUCCGCGUCAAGGCCAAGAACGCGGCCGGCUUCAGCAAGCCGUCGCCGCCGAGCCAACGCGUCAAGGUCAAGUCGCGCUUCGGCGUUCCAGGACCGCCGGGCACCCCGCAGGUGGCAAAGGUCACGCGCAGCUACGUCGACCUCAAGUGGGAGCCUCCGGCUUUCGACGGUGGCAGCCGCAUCACCGGCUACCUGGUGGAGAAGCGCGAGCUGGGUAGCGCCUUCUGGGUCAAGUGCAACGACUACAACAUCCCCAGCUGCGAGUUCUCGGCCAUCAACCUGAAGGAGGGCGGCGACUACGAGUUCCGGGUGUACGCGCUGAACGCGGCCGGCCGCAGCGAGCCCGCCCAGGGCCUGGGACCCGUCCGCGUCCAGGACGUGGUCGGAGGCACCAAGCCCGAGUUCGUCAAGUCGCUGAUGAACACGGGCGCCGGCCUGAUGAAGCCCAUGACGCUCACAUGCCAGGCCACUGGCACGCCGCCACCGACGGCGCGCUGGCUGAAGAACGGCCGCGAGGUGAACACGGAGCUGGGCCGCGUCAGCUGCGAGUCCUCGCCGGACGGCACGUUCCGGCUGGUGUUCAGCGAGGUCUGGUCCUCGGACGACGGCGAAUAUGCCUGCGUGGCCAGCAACGCCAUCGGACAGGCCACCACCACCUGCCGCGUCCGCAUCGGAUCUCCACCCAAGAUCGACAAGAUGCCGAACGACCUGUACCUGCCGGAGGGUGACAACACCAAGAUUAAGAUCUACUUCUCUGGCGACCAGCCGAUGAACGUGUCACUGAAGCACGAUGGCCGCGAGGUGCAAGAGGACAAGCACAUCAAGUACACCGUGUUCGACGACUACCUCAUCAUCUUCAUUCGUGAGAUCCAGAAGACAGACGCCGGCGAGUACACGCUCAGAGUGUCCAACGACAGCGGCGACGUGUCGGCCAGCUUCAACAUCUACAUCACCGGACUGCCGGGCGCGCCGCAGGGCCCGCUGCAGGUCACCGAGAUCACCAAACACACGUGCACGCUCACCUGGCGGCCUCCGUCCUACGACGGCGGCGUCAAGGUGACCCACUACGUGGUGGAGCGGCGCGACAUCACCCACUCGCAGUGGGUGAUCGUCUCCACCACGUGCAAGGACACGUCGUUCAUCGUCCAGGGCCUGACCGAGAACCAGGAGUACCUGUUCCGCGUGAUGGCGGUGAACGAGAACGGUAUGGGCCCGCCGCUGGAAGGCCUGAACCCGGUGAAGGCGCGGUCGCCGUACGAUCCGCCCUCGCCACCGGGCGAGCCCAGCGUCAAGGAGGUCGGCGGGGACUUCGUCAAUCUCAGCUGGGAACGGCCCGAGAAGGACGGCGGCGCGCGCAUCCAGGGAUACUGGAUCGAGAAGCGCGAGGUCGGCAGCACCGCCUGGCAGAAGGUCAACCAGGUACUGUGCACGACGACGCAGAUCAACAUCGCAAACCUGGUGGAGGACCGGCAGUACGAGUUCCGCGUGUUCGCCGUCAACGAGGCCGGCACCAGCGAGCCGUCCUCUGCCAGCACCUCCGUGAAGAUUCGGGACCCACACGCGGCGACGCCACCUCAGAUCGUGCAGCCUUUGAAGAACGUGAUGGCACUGGAGAACAAGUCGGCCAACUUCCAGUGCAAGAUCACCGGCACGCCCAAACCGACCAUCACCUGGUACAAGGGCAGUCGCGAGAUCUUCAACAGCAGCAAGUACUACACGGACCGGGAGGGCGACACCUACUACCUGGAGGUACGCGACGUGUACGGAGAGGACGCCGACGACUACAGCUGCCGCGCGCACAACGCCGCCGGACACAAGUCCACCCGCGCCACCCUCACCAUCAAAACGGCACCGAAGAUCAACGUGCCCCCGCGGUUCCGCGACACGGCAUUCUUCGACAAGGGCGAGAACAUCGUCAUCAAGAUUCCGUUCACGGGCAACCCCAAGCCGCGCUGCACGUGGAGCAAGGAGGGCGAGACCAUCGAGAAGGGAUCUCACUACGACCUGCAGACCACGGACCGUCACGCGAUCCUCACAAUCCGCGACGUGGACCGGGCCGACAACGGUCCGUACCGACUGGUGGCCGAGAACGAGCUCGGCAUGGACUCGUGCAUCAUCAAGGUCCAGAUCGCCGACCACCCGGAGCCGCCGCGGUACGUGAUGGCCGAGAAGCCGACCCACAACACGUGCAUCGUCAGCUGGAAGCCGCCCGCCUGGGACGGCGGCAGCAACGUGACCAACUAUAUCAUCGAGAAGCGCGAGCACCCGAUGACCUCCUGGAUCCGCUGCGGAAACACCAGGUUCACGACGCACGAGGCGCAGGGCCUGACGUCGGGCAAGACGUACUCGUUCCGGGUGAUCGCCGAGAACAUUUACGGCCGGUCCGACCCGAGCGUCGAGUCGUCGGCCAUCACCACGCAGGAGACGGCCAAGAAGAAGGGCGACGUCAAGAAAUACGAAGUGGACGAGAACGGCAAGCGUAUCCGCGGCAAGUCGGACCAGAAGGUGGAUAACUACGACCAGUUCGUGUUCGACAUCUACUCCAAGUACGUGCCGCAGCCAGUCGACAUCAAACACGACAGCGUCUACGACCACUACGAGAUACUCGAGGAGAUCGGCACCGGCGCGUUUGGCGUCGUGCACCGCUGCCGCGAGCGCAAGUCGGGCCACAUCUUCGCCGCCAAGUUCAUCCCGAUCAGCCACCCGAUGGAGAAGGAGCUGAUCAAGAAGGAGAUCGACAUCAUGAACCAGCUGCACCACCCGAAGCUGAUCAACCUGCACGACGCGUUCGAGGAGGACGACGAGAUGGUGCUGAUCUUCGAGUUCCUCUCGGGCGGGGAGCUGUUUGAGCGCAUCACUGCCGAGGGCUACACCAUGUCAGAGGCCGAGGUCAUCAACUACAUGCGCCAGAUCUGCGAGGCCGUCAAGCACAUGCACGAGAAGAACAUCAUCCACCUCGACGUAAAGCCGGAGAACAUCAUGUGCCAGACGUCCAAGUCGACCAAGGUGAAGCUGAUCGACUUCGGUCUGGCCACCAAGCUGAACCCCAACGAGCUGGUCAAGAUCUCGACUGGCACGGCCGAGUUCGCUGCGCCGGAGAUCGUGGAGCGGGAGCCGGUCGGCUUCUACACGGAUAUGUGGGCCGUGGGAGUGCUCGGCUACGUUCUACUGUCCGGCCUCUCGCCGUUCGCCGGCGAGAACGACAUCGACACACUCAAAAACGUGCGCUCCUGCGACUGGGACUUUGACGAGGAGGCCUUCAACAACGUCUCAGAAGAGGGCAAGGACUUCAUCCGACGACUCCUCAUCAAGGCCAAGGAGAAGCGGAUGACUGCACACGAGUGUCUGGAGCACCCGUGGCUGAAGGGCGACCACAGCCACCUCACAUCACCGAUCGCCAACUCGCGCUACACGCGCCUGCGCGACCGGAUGCGCGCGCGCUACGACACGUGGGACCAGUUCCUGGUGCCCAUCGGCCACAUCUCCAACUACUCCAGCCUGCGGAAGCUGCAGAUGGAGCGGUACCGCAUGCACGAGGUCACCUUCGACCGGCUGCAGGCGGCGCCGCGCUUCGUCAUCCGCCCGACCUCGGCGUUCGCGUACGAGGGCCAGUCGGUGCGGUUCACGUGUCGGGUCAUCUCGCUGGCGCCGCCGACGGUCACCUGGUACCGCGACAACAUGGAGCUGCGACAGUCGGUCAAAUACAUGCGCCGGUACGCCGGCGACGACUACACCUUCAUCAUCAACCGGGUGAAGCUGUCGGACCGCGGCGAGUACAUGAUCCGCGCCGAGAGCCACUACGGCUUCCGCGAGGAGCCCGUCUUCCUGAACGUGCAGGCGAUGCCGCAGGCGGCGCCGAAGCCGGCCGAGACGCAGCAGCCGGUGCGGCGGCGGCAGCAGCUGUUCAGCUACCGGCGGGUGUGGGAGCAGGAGGCCGACUCGGGCCCGCUCUUCACCUUCCACCUGCGGCCGCGCGUCAUGCAGAUGCACCAGACCUGCAAGCUGCUUUGCUGUCUCAGCGGAAAGCCCACACCCACGAUCAAGUGGUACAAGGGCAGCAAGGAGCUGAGCAAGUACGAGUACACGAUGACGCACAGCGACGGUGUGAUCACAAUGGAGAUCGUCAACUGCCAACCGGAGGACAGCGGCAAGUACCGCUGCGUGGCCUCCAACCACCUCGGCAGCGACGAGACCUACUGCGUCGUCAUCGUCGAGGCGGCACCGACCGGAGGUACCUGCCCACGGUGCCGCACCAGCAGCCAAUCACAAACGGUCACGACUACGCGGCGUCACACAGCUACUCGGCGUCACACAAGACCGACACCUCGUCCUACAAGAGCGACUUCAAGAGCUCGACCAAACAGAGCGCCUCCUCCUUCCAGUCGAGUACAGCUAAGUCCACCGCCGCCGCCUCCUCCGCGAUAUCGAGCAGUCGAACGGAGACCUCGUCAGGCAGCGGCGAGACGACCAAGCGACCUCUGAAGGCGUACGGCACGGGCACCAGCGGCGGCUCCCAGAGCCGCUCGCGCUCGGCCACCAAGGAGCUGGAGAUCCCGCCGGACGACUCGCUGAUGCACGCGCCCGUGUUCGAGGACAAGAUGCCGUCGGAGCUGGCGGUGCGCGACGGGGAGGCGCUGGCGCUGCGCUGCCAGGUGCGCGGCGACCCCGACCCCAAGACGGCCUGGAGCAAAAACGGCGAGCCGCUCAGCUCCUCUGACGUGAUCGACCUCAAGUACCGCAACGGCGUGGCGUCGCUGGUGAUCGCCGAGGUGUUCCCCGAGGAUGAGGGCCUGUACGAGUGCCGCGCCUACAACUCGAUGGGCGAGGUCACCACCACGUGCAAGGUCACCGUCACACCGAUGGAAAGCGCGCCAAAGAAGGGCGCCAGCGGUGAGGUUCCGCCGAGAGUAGUGGAGCACAUCCAGUCCAAGGUGGUCAAGGACGGAGACGCCGUCACACUCACCUGUAAACUCACAG
This 32126-nucleotide unclassified non-coding RNA is filed under the name Amphibalanus amphitrite. RNAcentral describes it as "twitchin-like, transcript variant X39". The record is from RNAcentral. Lineage: Eukaryota; Metazoa; Arthropoda; Thecostraca; Balanomorpha; Balanidae.